Molecule: transfer RNA, 74 nt
Filed under: Streptococcus salivarius
Lineage: Bacteria; Bacillati; Bacillota; Bacilli; Lactobacillales; Streptococcaceae
Description: tRNA-Pro
Rfam family: tRNA
About the family: Transfer RNA (tRNA) molecules are approximately 80 nucleotides in length. Their secondary structure includes four short double-helical elements and three loops (D, anti-codon, and T loops).
Source: RNAcentral
CGGGAAGUAGCUCAGCUUGGUAGAGCACUUGGUUUGGGACCAAGGGGUCGCAGGUUCGAAUCCUGUCUUCCCGG